RNAcentral lists this ribosomal RNA (407 nucleotides) under Siamusotima sp. Bamaga 1. RNAcentral's name for it is "SSU rRNA". It matches the Rfam family "Eukaryotic small subunit ribosomal RNA", at positions 1167 to 1573 of the family's 1831-position model. The record is from RNAcentral. Lineage: Eukaryota; Metazoa; Arthropoda; Insecta; Lepidoptera; Crambidae.
CCACCAGGAGUGGAGCCUGCGGCUUAAUUUGACUCAACACGGGAAAUCUCACCAGGCCCGGACACCGGAAGGAUUGACAGAUUAACAGCUCUUUCUUGAUUCGGUGGGUGGUGGUGCAUGGCCGUUCUUAGUUGGUGGAGCGAUUUGUCUGGUUAAUUCCGGUAACGAACGAGACUCUAGCCUGCUAAAUAGGCGUCGUCAUUUAGGUGUGCGUGGCCGCAACUCACUGGCGACGUAUUAAAAUUCUUCUUAGAGGGACCGGCGGCUUCGAGCCGCACGAGAUUGAGCAAUAACAGGUCUGUGAUGCCCUUAGAUGUCCUGGGCCGCACGCGCGCUACACUGAAGGAAUCAGCAUGUUCUCCCUGGCCUAGAGGCCCGGGCAACCCGUUGAAACUCCUUCGUGCUGG